RNAcentral lists this ribosomal RNA (424 nucleotides) under uncultured bacterium. RNAcentral's name for it is "partial 16S ribosomal RNA". It matches the Rfam family "Bacterial small subunit ribosomal RNA", at positions 360 to 776 of the family's 1533-position model. The record is from RNAcentral.
AAUUUUGGACAAUGGGCGUAAGCGUGACCCAGCCAUGCCGCGUUAGUGAAGUUGGCAAUCGGGUUGUAAAGCAUUUUCGGACGGAAAGAAAUCGCGCAGGCUAAUACCCUGAGCUGCUGACGGUACCGUCAUUAGAAGCACCCGCUAACUACGUGCCGGCAGCCGCGGUAAUACGUAGGGUGCGAGCGUUAAUCGGAAUUACUGGGCGUAAAGCGUGCGCAGGCGGUUGAUUAAGACAGGCGUGAAAUCCCCGGGCUUAACCUGGGAACUGCGCUUGUGACUGGUCAGCUAGAGUACGGCAGAGGGGGGUGGAAUUCCACGUGUAGCAGUGAAAUGCGUAGAGAUGUGGAGGAACACCGAUGGCGAAGGCAGCCCCCUGGGCCGAUACUGACGCUCAUGCACGAAAGCGUGGGUAGCAAACAGG